UGGUAGUGGUAUCUUGAUUGGUGCUGAGCCUUGUUGACAGACGCUGUUGGGACCUGGUCAACGGUCCUCUUCUCCCGCAUUUCUGAGCCUUCAAUGUCAUUGAUAUGCCGUUAAGUUGAAGCUUGCAUAUCUAUCUUCCCUUGGUUUAUUUUAAGCUAUCGUGCCGCCUUGGCCUGCUUUAGUUCUAUUCGGCUCGGGAAGAUCUGGCACAGCCGUCUCGUUCACGCUCCCGUUAUAGUCGCUUUCUGUUACGAUGUUUCAAAUCGCCGGCAAAUUAUUCCGCAUCCGCUUUGUGUUCCAAGGGAAAAAAGGAUUGCCUCUUUUAUUUUCGUGAUUGCCGUGUUCGACAGAAUUAAAGGAUUGUGCACUUCGUGAGCUUAGGCUGAGUCUUGAACCGGUUUUGUGUGGACAGCGC
Molecule: small RNA, 415 nt
Filed under: Histoplasma capsulatum
Lineage: Eukaryota; Fungi; Ascomycota; Eurotiomycetes; Onygenales; Ajellomycetaceae
Also listed under: 1 other name
Description: hypothetical RNA
Source: RNAcentral